Molecule: ribosomal RNA, 497 nt
Filed under: uncultured bacterium
Lineage: Bacteria
Description: partial 16S ribosomal RNA
Rfam family: Bacterial small subunit ribosomal RNA
Source: RNAcentral
GAUGAACGCUGGCGGCGUGCCUAAUACAUGCAAGUCGAGCGAACAGAUAAGGAGCUUGCUCCUUUGACGUUAGCGGCGGACGGGUGAGUAACACGUGGGUAACCUACCUAUAAGACUGGAAUAACUCCGGGAAACCGGGGCUAAUGCCGGAUAACAUUUAGAACCGCAUGGUUCUAAAGUGAAAGAUGGUUUUGCUAUCACUUAUAGAUGGACCCGCGCCGUAUUAGCUAGCUGGUAAGGUAACGGCUUACCAAGGCAACGAUACGUAGCCGACCUGAGAGGGUGAUCGGCCACACUGGAACUGAGACACGGUCCAGACUCCUACGGGAGGCAGCAGUAGGGAAUCUUCCGCAAUGGGCGAAAGCCUGACGGAGCAACGCCGCGUGAGUGAUGAAGGUCUUCGGAUCGUAAAACUCUGUUAUUAGGGAAGAACAAAUGUGUAAGUAACUGUGCACGUCUUGACGGUACCUAAUUAGAAAGCCACGGCUAACUACGUG